RNAcentral lists this ribosomal RNA (675 nucleotides) under Kryptoperidinium triquetrum. RNAcentral describes it as "Heterocapsa triquetra partial 23S ribosomal RNA". Lineage: Eukaryota; Dinophyceae; Peridiniales; Kryptoperidiniaceae. The record is from RNAcentral.
UCGAAGAAAUGUGAUGUACUUUAAGAGGGUGACCAACCUGCCAUAAUCUUUGUUUCUCUCAAUGGCAUAUAAUAUUCGUGGAAACAAAGGUACUCCAUUAACUUAUCGAAAAGAUACCUCUGUGUAGAUUUUUAGAAAUAUUUAGUUAAUACUGAAUAAUAGAAGCGGUGAGCUUCUUCAGUAGCUGUUGGUAGAAUCUUUACGGGUUUGCUGUCCAUAGGCUAAAGGAUUAAUAGUCAGAUUUGUGUAUUGUGAAUGAAAGGUGAAAAGAAUUCCGGAAGGUAGGUGAAAUAGUGGUAAUUUAAUUAAUAGGAUGAAAUCUUACGUUUUUAUAUUAUAUAAGUGGUUGUGGAAGAAAGAAUUGUUGAGUUUAAACUAACAUUGUUUAUUGUUAUUAAAGCCCGAAUACUACCGAUCUAACUAUCAUUAAGGUUUUUCUGCUGGUUGAGUAUACUAAAGAUUGAAAUGUGGAGGGGUGCACACCUGCCAUUCAAUUGAUAGUUGGUGGUUAAAUGUCAUACGAGGUGUGUUAAUAUCUGGGUGUGUUCGAAAGAUGUAAUGGUGUCGAAUAAAUGUAAUUUGCUGGCAUAAGAUUGUUGUGAAAUGAUUUUAAUUAAGAGGGAUUAACUAUAAAUAAGGUUCAAGUGCUCUUAGGAGUAUUAUUAUUGGUCAUUU